AUACUUACCUUGCAGGGGAGACACCAUGAUCACAAAGGUGAUUUUCCAGGGUGAGGCUUAUCCAUUGCACUCCAGAUAUUCUAACCUCUGUGAUUUCCCCAAAUGUGGGAAACUCAACUGCAUAAUUUGUGUAGUAGGGAACUGUUCAUACUCUUCCUUU
Jaculus jaculus (lesser Egyptian jerboa) is the source of this 160-nucleotide small nuclear RNA. Its record names the gene U1. It matches the Rfam family "U1 spliceosomal RNA". From Rfam's summary of the family: U1 is a small nuclear RNA (snRNA) component of the spliceosome (involved in pre-mRNA splicing). Its 5' end forms complementary base pairs with the 5' splice junction, thus defining the 5' donor site of an intron. The record is from Ensembl. NCBI's taxonomy places the organism in Eukaryota, Metazoa, Chordata, Mammalia, Rodentia, Dipodidae.